GAGGAAUAUUGGACAAUGGGGGAGAUUCUGAUCCAGCCAUGCCGCGUGYAGGAAGACUGCCCUAUGGGUUGUAAACUGCUUUUAUAGAGGAAGAACCCUUUUUACGUGUAGAAAGCUGACGGUACUGUAAGAAUAAGGAYCGGCUAACUCCGUGCCAGCAGCCGCGGUAAUACGGAGGGUCCAAGCGUUAUCCGGAAUCAUUGGGUUUAAAGGGUUCGUAGGCGGAUUAAUAAGUCAGAGGUGAAAUACACUAGCUCAACUAGUGAACUGCCUUUGAUACUGUUAGUCUUGAGUUAUAUUGAAGUAGAUAGAAUAUGUAGUGUAGCGGUGAAAUGCAUAG
RNAcentral lists this ribosomal RNA (340 nucleotides) under uncultured bacterium. RNAcentral describes it as "bacterial SSU rRNA". It matches the Rfam family "Bacterial small subunit ribosomal RNA", at positions 356 to 693 of the family's 1533-position model. The record is from RNAcentral.